This is an RNA transcript of Hyaena hyaena (striped hyena), 1814 nucleotides long. It is a transcript of the gene named dynein assembly factor with WD repeats 1, with no coding region annotated. The transcript has 12 exons. The record is from RefSeq and is a predicted model, not a curated record. NCBI's taxonomy places the organism in Eukaryota, Metazoa, Chordata, Mammalia, Carnivora, Hyaenidae.
GCGCCUGGCUCCUAGCGCUGGGAGCCCGCGCAUGCGCGCAGCCGCCCCGCCGCUGUUUGGCCGUUUCCAUGGCUACGAGAGCGUUGACCUGGGGUCUGCACAGGAGAAAAUGAAACUCAAGAGCCUCCUGCUCCGCUAUUACCCGCCAGGAAUUAUGUUGGAAUAUGAGACGAGUGGAGAGCUGAAGACCAAAUGCAUAGAUUUGCUCAACCUCAGUCCCAGUAGUGACGUCAAUGCCUUAGUAGAAGAGAUACAGAAAGCAGAGCCUCUAAUCACAGCUUCCCGAUCGGACCAAGUAAAGCUUUUACUACAGAGAUUACAAGAGAAGCUCAGACAGCACAGCAACCACAAAUUCUACCUUUUUAAGGUUCUCAGAGCACAUAUACUGCCACUGACCAAUGUUGCGCUUAAUAAAUCGGGGUCUUGCUUUAUCACAGGGAGCUAUGAUCGGACCUGUAAACUCUGGGACACUGCUUCUGGAGAGGAGCUUCACACCCUGGAGGGCCACCGGAAUGUGGUUUAUGCCAUAGCAUUCAACAAUCCAUAUGGUGACAAAAUUGCUACUGGCUCCUUUGAUAAGACCUGUAAACUAUGGAGUGUAGAAACGGGAAAAUGUUACCACACUUUUAGGGGGCAUACAGCAGAAAUAGUGUGUUUGUCAUUCAACCCUCAAAGCACACUGGUGGCCACUGGAAGCAUGGACACAACGGCCAAACUGUGGGACAUUCAGAACGGAGAGGAAGUGUUCACUUUGACAGGACAUUUGGCUGAAAUCAUCUCUUUGUCCUUUAACACCUCGGGAAGCAGAAUCAUCACAGGGUCUUUUGAUCACACAGUUGCAGUGUGGGAAGCUGAAACUGGAAGGAAGGUGUAUACCCUAAUUGGGCACUAUGCUGAGAUCAGCAGCGCUUUAUUCAGCUGGGAUUGCUCCCUCAUAUUAACCGGCUCUAUGGACAAAACCUGCAUGCUGUGGGACGCUGCAAAUGGAAAAUGUGUGGCAACAUUAACAGGCCAUGAUGAUGAAAUACUAGACAGCUGUUUUGAUUACACUGGAAAACUUAUUGCAACUGCUUCAGCUGAUGGACACAAGUUCUAUGGUAUAUCUACUCCAGCUCUGGGUUACCAAGUAGGAUGCUACAUUGUGUAUCAUCAUCUCCUCCUGAUGACCAUGCAUGAUAACACACUAGACUCACAUUUUCUUAAAGAUUAUGUAUGAUAUUACGCUCUACCUACAUCAUCUCCUUGGAUGGCUGCACAUGAGGUUUACUAUGUCAGCAUCAUCUCCUUGAUAAGCAUGUAUGAUUACCAUGAACUCACCUCGCUGACAAACAUACAUGAUGUUAAAUAUGUCUUUGACAUCUCAUUGAAGGCCACAUAUAAUGCCAUGUGAUAUCUGUACCAUCUCACUGACAACCAUCUGUAUUACUGCAUUAUGUAUAUACUAUGCCUUGGAUGGUAAUUUUUUAUACUAAACAACGGGUCAUCCUCAUAACUAUGUAUUCCUGACAAGAUGUAAGAGACUACACACCUUCUGCAUCACUUGCUGGCAACCCUGUCAUGAUGUCUACAUGACAUCCUUGACAGCCACAUGUGAUGAUACCUCCACACCAUCUCCUCGGCAAGCAUGUGUGACGCUGUGCUAAGUCGAUGUCAUCUCAUGACAUCACACAACCAAGUGACGCUCUUCUAUGAGCCAUCACUUUGACAGUUAAGUAUGAUGCUACACCAUGUGUCAUCUUCCUGAAGACUGCAGGAACAGCAAGAGUUUUCAGUGCAGCCACAAGAAAAUGCAUUACCAAACUGGAAGGCCAUGA